CUCUAACUCACCCCAGCUUGUGUGCAGCCCCAUCUGCCUGGGACUCCUCCUUCCAGACAGGUAUCAACCCCCUCUUACUGCUCCUCUGCCUUUCAUGCUUAGCUCUACUGCCCUUACAAUGGCACUUGUGGCUUUCAGGCAUAGCAUUUUCUUAAUAUGUCCCUUGGACCAGGAACUAGUCUGAAGGCUCUGCUACUGGAAUGCCCAAACAAACUAGGCAGGACAGAACAGUUCUCAAUGGAACUAGUAG
Non-coding RNA from Pelobates cultripes (western spadefoot toad), 250 nucleotides. The record is from the annotation of a GenBank genome assembly. NCBI's taxonomy places the organism in Eukaryota, Metazoa, Chordata, Amphibia, Anura, Pelobatidae.